UGGGGAAUAUUGGACAAUGGGCGAAAGCCUGAUCCAGCCAUGCCGCGUGUGUGAAGAAGGUCUUCGGAUUGUAAAGCACUUUAAGUUGGGAGGAAGGGCAGUAAGCGAAUACCUUGCUGUUUUGACGAUACCGACAGAAUAAGCACCGGCUAACUCUGUGCCAGCAGCCGCGGUAAUACAGAGGGUGCAAGCGUUAAUCGGAAUUACUGGGCGUAAAGCGCGCGUAGGUGGUUCGUUAAGUUGAAUGUGAAAGCCCCGGGCUCAACCUGGGAACUGCCUCCAAAACUGGCGAGCUAGAGUAGGGCAGAGGGUGGUGGAAUUUCCUGUGUAGCGGUGAAAUGCGUAGAUAUAGGAAGGAACACCAGUGGCGAAGGCGACCACCUGGGCUCAUACUGACACUGAGGUGCGAAAGCGUGGGGAGCAAACAUG
This 429-nucleotide ribosomal RNA is filed under the name Pseudomonadota bacterium. RNAcentral describes it as "Proteobacteria bacterium partial 16S ribosomal RNA". It matches the Rfam family "Bacterial small subunit ribosomal RNA", at positions 355 to 776 of the family's 1533-position model. The record is from RNAcentral. Lineage: Bacteria; Pseudomonadati; Pseudomonadota.